Molecule: small nuclear RNA, 96 nt
Organism: Nomascus leucogenys (northern white-cheeked gibbon)
Lineage: Eukaryota; Metazoa; Chordata; Mammalia; Primates; Hylobatidae
Source: Ensembl
GUGCUUGCUUAAGUAGCACAUACACUAAAAUUGGAAUGAUUAGCAUGGCCCCUGCACAAGGAUGACACACAAAUUAGUAAAGUGUUCCAUAUUUUU